GAUGAAGAACGCAGCGAAAUGCGAUACUUGGUGUGAAUUGCAGAAUCCCGUGAACCAUCGAGUCUUUGAACGCAAGUUGCGCCCGAAGCCACUAGGCCGAGGGCACGCCUGCCUGGGCGUCACACGCCGUUGCCCCCCCAUCUACUCCUUCGGGAUUGUGGGGGGCGGAUGAUGGCCUCCCGUGCGCCUCGUCGCGCGGUUGGCAUAAAUGCCAAGUCCUCGGCGACGCACGCCACGACAAUCGGUGGUUGCGAAACCUCGGUUGCCCGUCGUGUGCGGUCGUCGCGCAUCGAGGGCUCGAAAAAAUUGCCGGGCUCCGGCUCGGCUUUCAACGCGACCCCAGGUCAGGCGGGGUUACCCGCUGAAUUUAAGCAUAUCAAUAAGCGGAGGA
Molecule: unclassified non-coding RNA, 391 nt
Filed under: soil metagenome
Description: partial contains 5.8S ribosomal RNA, internal transcribed spacer 2, and large subunit ribosomal RNA
Rfam family: 5.8S ribosomal RNA (bases 1-122)
Source: RNAcentral